UACGUAGGGUGCAAGCGUUGUCCGGAUUCACUGGGUUUAAAGGGUGCGCAGGCGGCGGCGUAAGUCCGGGAUGAAAUGGGGGGGCUCAACCCCCUCGCUGUCCCGGAUACUGCGGCGCUAGAGUCACAAUGAGGUAACUGGAAUAGACGGUGUAGCGGUGAAAUGCGUAGAGAUCGUCUGGAACGCCAAUUGCGAAGGCGGGUUACUGGUUGUGCACUGACGCUCAGGCACGAAAGCGCGGGUAGCGAACAGG
This 253-nucleotide unclassified non-coding RNA is filed under the name uncultured Planctomycetota bacterium. RNAcentral's name for it is "uncultured planctomycete contains 16S-23S intergenic spacer region". It matches the Rfam family "Bacterial small subunit ribosomal RNA", at positions 524 to 776 of the family's 1533-position model. The record is from RNAcentral. Lineage: Bacteria; Pseudomonadati; Planctomycetota.